RNAcentral lists this transfer RNA (69 nucleotides) under Camelus bactrianus (Bactrian camel). It matches the Rfam family "tRNA". From Rfam's summary of the family: Transfer RNA (tRNA) molecules are approximately 80 nucleotides in length. Their secondary structure includes four short double-helical elements and three loops (D, anti-codon, and T loops). RNAcentral also lists the same sequence under 2 other names. The record is from Rfam by way of RNAcentral. Lineage: Eukaryota; Metazoa; Chordata; Mammalia; Artiodactyla; Camelidae.
GCGGGUAUAACUGAAAUGGUAGCGUGCUUAGCAUGCAUGAGGGCCUGGGUUCAAUUCCCAGUACCUCCA